Molecule: ribosomal RNA, 324 nt
Filed under: Triticum aestivum (bread wheat)
Lineage: Eukaryota; Viridiplantae; Streptophyta; Magnoliopsida; Poales; Poaceae
Description: partial small subunit ribosomal RNA
Source: RNAcentral
AUGUCAACAAAGAAGACGUUACUCCUCUGGCUUCUCUGCCGGAGCAGGUGGUGGCUCCUCAGCCUCAGCCGGGUGUUUGUCUACCGUGGUUGUUGCCUCCCCUUCCCCCACCCGUGGUCAGUCGCCGACGAGAACGAAGAAGAGGUCCUAAGUGACGACGUAGAUAGUGACCCAGAAACCCAGAGGAUCUACAGGAGGCAGAAGGUGAGGCAGCUAGACAGUGGUGAGCUCGACAAAGGUGUGAGGCCUAGAUUCGGAAAGGGGGGCUACGGAUGCCCUUACUGCAACAAGGUUAUGAAAGGCGACCUGUCGAGUACCAUUUAG